Molecule: ribosomal RNA, 253 nt
Filed under: uncultured bacterium
Lineage: Bacteria
Description: partial 16S ribosomal RNA
Rfam family: Bacterial small subunit ribosomal RNA
Source: RNAcentral
UACGUAGGUGGCAAGCGUUGUCCGGAUUUACUGGGCGUAAAGAGCGCGCAGGCGGUCGUUCAAGUCGCGUGUGAAAGCCCCCGGCUCAACUGGGGAGGGUCACGCGAUACUGAUCGACUCGAAGGCAGGAGAGGGUAGUGGAAUUCCCGGUGUAGUGGUGAAAUGCGUAGAUAUCGGGAGGAACACCAGUGGCGAAGGCGGCGAUCUGGGAACAUACUGACGCUGAGGUGCGAAAGCGUGGGGAGCAAACAGG